UACAGGAGGUCCCGAGCGUUUGUUCGGAUUCAUUGGGCGUAAAGGGUGCGUAGGCGGCGGGGUAAGUUUGAUGUGAAAUCCCGGGGCUCAACCCUGGAAUUGCAUUGAAUACUACCUUGCUAGAGUACCGGAGAGGAAACUGGAAUUUACGGUGUAGCAGUGAAAUGCGUAGAGAAUCGUAAGGAAGACCAGUGGCGAAGGCGAGUUUCUGGACGGUAACUGACGCUGAGGCACGAAGGCCGGGGGAGCAAAACAGGAUUAGAAA
Molecule: ribosomal RNA, 265 nt
Filed under: uncultured bacterium
Lineage: Bacteria
Description: partial 16S ribosomal RNA
Rfam family: Bacterial small subunit ribosomal RNA
Source: RNAcentral